RNAcentral lists this ribosomal RNA (497 nucleotides) under uncultured bacterium. RNAcentral's name for it is "partial 16S ribosomal RNA". It matches the Rfam family "Bacterial small subunit ribosomal RNA", at positions 28 to 507 of the family's 1533-position model. The record is from RNAcentral.
GAUGGACGCUGGCGGCGUGCCUAAUACAUGCAAGUCGAGCGAACAGAUGAGGAGCUUGCUCCUCUGACGUUAGCGGCGGACGGGUGAGUAACACGUGGAUAACCUACCUAUAAGACUGGGAUAACUACGGGAAACCGGAGCUAAUACCGGAUAAUAUAUUGAACCGCAUGGUUCAAUAGUGAAAGACGGUUUUGCUGUCACUUAUAGAUGGAUCCGCGCCGCAUUAGCUAGUUGGUAAGGUAACGGCUUACCAAGGCAACGAUGCGUAGCCGACCUGAGAGGGUGAUCGGCCACACUGGAACUGAGACACGGUCCAGACUCCUACGGGAGGCAGCAGUAGGGAAUCUUCCGCAAUGGGCGAAAGCCUGACGGAGCAACGCCGCGUGAGUGAUGAAGGUCUUCGGAUCGUAAAACUCUGUUAUUAGGGAAGAACAAAUGUGUAAGUAACUAUGCACGUCUUGACGGUACCUAAUCAGAAAGCCACGGCUAACUACGUG